CGUUAGCGCAGGCUUUCUCUCGCUGCCAUAAGAUAUCCUGCUGUAGUGUUACCGACUCAUGCAUAUUAUUAUGUGCUUUCUCAGCCUCUCUCGUACAAGUUUUGAUUUGAAUUUCGAGACGUAUAUAGAGUUAAAGCUUCCCAAAGUCAACGAGUAUUUUGAGAAUCUAUUCUUUAUUUCCCCUUCCCUGUUGAAUUUAAUUUAGAAGUUCAAAUAUUGCAAGCUUCUUGUAUUAUAUUCAAAAUGUCCACUUUAUUCCCG
Molecule: unclassified non-coding RNA, 261 nt
Filed under: Hevea brasiliensis (rubber tree)
Lineage: Eukaryota; Viridiplantae; Streptophyta; Magnoliopsida; Malpighiales; Euphorbiaceae
Source: RNAcentral